Molecule: unclassified non-coding RNA, 355 nt
Filed under: soil metagenome
Description: partial contains 5.8S ribosomal RNA, internal transcribed spacer 2, and large subunit ribosomal RNA
Rfam family: 5.8S ribosomal RNA (bases 1-120)
Source: RNAcentral
GAUGAAGAACGUAGUGAAAUGCGAUAAGUAAUGUGAAUUGCAGAAUUCAGUGAAUCAUCGAAUCUUUGAACGCACAUUGCGCCCGCCAGUAUUCUGGCGGGCAUGCCUGUCCGAGCGUCAUUUCAACCCUCGAACCCCUCCGGGGGGUCGGCGUUGGGGAUCGGCCCUGCCUCUUGGCGGUGGCCGUCUCCGAAAUACAGUGGCGGUCUCGCCGCAGCCUCUCCUGCGCAGUAGUUUGCACACUCGCAUCGGGAGCGCGGCGCGUCCACAGCCGUUAAACACCCAACUUCUGAAAUGUUGACCUCGGAUCAGGUAGGAAUACCCGCUGAACUUAAGCAUAUCAAUAAGCGGAGGA